This 225-nucleotide ribosomal RNA is filed under the name uncultured bacterium. RNAcentral describes it as "partial 16S ribosomal RNA". It matches the Rfam family "Bacterial small subunit ribosomal RNA", at positions 1268 to 1500 of the family's 1533-position model. The record is from RNAcentral.
CUAAUCCCAAAACGCCUCUCUCAGUUCGGAUCGAAGUCUGCAACCCGACUUCGUGAAGCUGGAUUCGCUAGUAAUCGCGCAUCAGCCAUGGCGCGGUGAAUACGUUCCCGGGCCUUGUACACACCGCCCGUCAAGCCAUGAAAGCCGGGGGUACCUGAAGUACGUAACCGCAAGGAGCGUCCUAGGGUAAAACUGGUAAUUGGGGCUAAGUCGUAACAAGGUAGC